GGGGUGGGCUCUGAGCAAGGGACGUGAAGAACAGCUCCUCUGUUUAUAACUCACCCAACAGGAUCCGGGGUCAUUGUGAUGAGAGGGACACAAAAUUUGUGACCCCCCCCCCCGUGAACAAAUUCCCUGAUGU
This is a small nucleolar RNA of Nycticebus coucang (slow loris), 133 nucleotides long. RefSeq annotates it as small nucleolar RNA SNORA11. Lineage: Eukaryota; Metazoa; Chordata; Mammalia; Primates; Lorisidae. The record is from RefSeq and is a predicted model, not a curated record. The transcript has a single exon.